CUUUCUUUGCUGGCGACCGGCGCACGGGUGAGUAACACGUAUCCAACCUGCCCUUUACUCGGGGAUAGCCUUUCGAAAGAAAGAUUAAUACCCGAUAGCAUAAUGAUUCCGCAUGGUUUCAUUAUUAAAGGAUUCCGGUAAAGGAUGGGGAUGCGUUCCAUUAGGUUGUUGGUGAGGUAACAGCCCACCAAGCCUUCGAUGGAUAGGGGUUCUGAGAGGAAGGUCCCCCACAUUGGAACUGAGACACGGUCCAA
Molecule: ribosomal RNA, 254 nt
Filed under: uncultured bacterium
Lineage: Bacteria
Description: partial 16S ribosomal RNA
Rfam family: Bacterial small subunit ribosomal RNA
Source: RNAcentral